UUUUCCAGAGAAGAGAAGCUUUACUGGUGUUCCAGCCCUAAGGCUCAUAUGACAUUAACAGACAAGACACUUUUCAGAAAGACAGGUAAGUCAUUUGUUAAAAUCUCACUACUGUUGUUUAACAGAAACAUAUAUAUGCAUGUAUAUGUGUGUACUGUAUGGAAAAAGUGGAAUUAGAGUUUAUCUAGAAAAGAAAAAAUUACCUCAUCUAAGUGCAGAAAUGAAUAAUACUUAAACCAUACCAUACAAUUCUCUAUCAUAUUUCCACAGAUAAGUCAAAAAUUUAAAAAAUCUUAUUGUUCAUGCAUAAAUGCAGAAAACAAUACCUCUAGUAUAUGUUUGUGUUCUAUUGUACUUUCACAGAAGGUGUUUGAUACUUAAUACUGUGUUUAUUAAGAAAAAUCUUUGCAAUGGUUAUGGAAUUAAAAUUUCAUGUAAAAAUGAUUAUGUAGAUCAAGAAAAGUUGCAAUUUUCUGGAUUCCUGAUAUUUUAAAUAAAAGUAGUUUCCAAAGG
This is a long non-coding RNA of Homo sapiens (human), 513 nucleotides long. Ensembl annotates it as NUTM2B antisense RNA 1. Its record names the gene NUTM2B-AS1. NCBI's taxonomy places the organism in Eukaryota, Metazoa, Chordata, Mammalia, Primates, Hominidae. The record is from Ensembl.